Molecule: ribosomal RNA, 492 nt
Filed under: uncultured bacterium
Lineage: Bacteria
Description: partial 16S ribosomal RNA
Rfam family: Bacterial small subunit ribosomal RNA
Source: RNAcentral
AGUGAACGCUGGCGGUAUGCUUAACACAUGCAAGUCGAACGGCAACAGACUAUGGGGUUGCUACGAGGGGUGGCCGGGGGCGUAAUGGUUCGGAACGCACCCAGAGCUACGUUUUCACGCGGCGUAAGCUAGGGUAACAUACCCUGAGACCGGAUGCUACAUACGGGUGAACGAAGAGCAUUUUUUGGCCUCGCGCCUUUGGAUCAGCCGAUGUCGGAUUAGCUAGUUGGCGGGGUAAAGGCCCACCAAGGCGACGAUCCGUAGCUGGUCUGAGAGGACGACCAGCCACACUGGGACUGAGACACGGUCCAGACUCCUACGGGAGGCAGCAGUGGGGAAUUUUGGACAAAGGGCGCAAGCCUGAUCCAGCAAUGCCGCGUGGGGGAAGAAGGCCUUCGGGUUGUAAAGCGCUUUUGGUAGGAAAGAAAAGGUGUCGGCUAAUACCGGGCGGUAAUGACGGUACCUAAAGAAUAAGCACCGGCUAACUACGUG